RNAcentral lists this ribosomal RNA (1542 nucleotides) under Liagora pectinata. RNAcentral describes it as "eukaryotic LSU rRNA". It matches the Rfam family "Eukaryotic large subunit ribosomal RNA", at positions 82 to 1751 of the family's 3401-position model. Lineage: Eukaryota; Rhodophyta; Florideophyceae; Nemaliales; Liagoraceae. The record is from RNAcentral.
AGUAGCGGCGAGCGAAGCGGGAAGAGCCCGGUGUGAAAAUCUCUUCGGAGAAUUGUAUUUGAGUGUCCUUUGGGUGGUCAGUGCGAGCAAGUUGCUUGGGAUAGCACGCCAUGGAGGGUGAGAGCCCCGUCCAUCUCGCACAGGAUCCAUCCGCACAAGGGCGCUUCAACCGAGUCGGGUAGCUUGGGAAUGCUGCUCUAAUUGGUGGUAAAUCUCAUCAAAGGCUAAAUAACGGUGGGAGACCGAUAGCGAACAAGUACCGUGAGGGAAAGAUGGAAAGAACUUUGAAAAGAGAGUGAAAAGAACUUGAAACCGUCACGGGGGAAGCGGAUUGCGUGAGUGGUGGUGUCGCUUGUUCAGCGCUUUUUGCGUGCAUUCUGGCGAUACCUUGUCGUUGUGACUGGCUGGCUCGUGAUUUUGACGUACCGGCUGGUGAGGGCUCCCAUUCUUUGGUGAGGACGACGACAAAAUGACGCAAUACGACCCGUCUUGAAACACGGACCAAGGAGUCUAGCACGGCUGCGAGUCGAAGGGUGUAAAACCCAGGGGCGCAGUGAAAGCGAAUUCAAAGCAAAUUGGGGAGGCGUUGCGUUUUUAACUAAAUGUCCUACCUUGAGCAUUUGUGCUGGGACCCGAAAGAUGGUGAACUAUGCCGGAGUAGGGCAAAGCCAGAGGAAACUCUGGUGGAGGCUCGUAGCGAUGCUGACGUGCAAAUCGCUCGUCGAACUUGGGUAUAGGGGCGAAAGACUAAUCGAACCAUCUAGUAGCUGGUUCCCUCCGAAGUUUCUCUCAGGAUAGCGGGCCGACAUAUGUUGUUUUGUGCGGUAAAGCGAAUGAUUAGUGCAUUUGGGGUCUGAUAGACUUCGGGCGAUUCUCAAACUUUAAAUGCGCAAGGGGGUGGCUGCUUAAUUGAGCCUACUCUUUGAAAAACGUCGGCCCUGUGGGCCACUUUUGGUAAGCAGAACUGGCGAUAAGGGAUGAACCUUAAGCGCGGUUAAGGCGCCGCAUUGCCCGCUUAUAGACCCCACAAAAGGUGUUGAUUCAUUUAGACAGCAGGACGGUGGCCAUGGAAGUCGGAAUCCGCUAAGGAGUGUGUAACAACUCACCUGCCGAAUGAAUUAGCCCUGAAAAUGGAUGGCGCUGAAGCGGGCAGCCGACACCGCGCCGUUCCGGCGAGACGAUGCCGGGAUGAGUAGGAGGGCGUGGCGGUCAGUGACGCAGGCGAGGGUGCAGACCCCGCUGAAACGGCCGCUAGUGCAGAUCUUGGUGGUAGUAGCAAAUAUUCAAGCGAGAUCCUUGAAGGGCGAAGCGGGGAAGGGUUCCACGCAAACAUUGAUUGGGCGUGGGUGAGUCGUUCCUAAGCCGAGUGGCAAUUGCUAAGUAGCGGCGAAAGGGAAGCGGGUUAAAAUUCCCGCACACGGAUAUGGAGGCGGCGACGCAAGCAGAGGCAAAUACGCUGGCGAGGGCGCUGGGCAGAGUUGUCUUUUCUGUUUGACCGGCAUCGCGCUGUGUGGAAUCCGCUUAUCGGGAGAAACACGCGCG